Molecule: RNA transcript, 4247 nt
Organism: Hypanus sabinus (Atlantic stingray)
Lineage: Eukaryota; Metazoa; Chordata; Chondrichthyes; Myliobatiformes; Dasyatidae
Gene name: PWWP domain-containing DNA repair factor 3A-like
Exons: 15
Source: RefSeq, a predicted model, not a curated record
UUACGCUUACGUAGCUUCUUUCCUGCGGUCGGAACUUGAGCGGCGCUGGAAGUGCGGUUGGAUCGCUGUUUUUCAGGCAACAGGAGCGGCCCUGCCUUAUUCCUGCAUCGGGGCUCUGGAAGCGAAGGCGGUUGGACGCUUGCUGAGCAGGAGAAGAGUGGAAGCAUUUGAUGGAACGAGCCUUUGCCUGGACGUGCAGUGUUCUGCUGACAGUAUAAGCAAUGAGUGAUUUUGAGUUCAUCUUUUGCAGAUGGCAUGAUCGGCUAUGGCCUGCAAAAAUACUGUUGAAGUCUGGUAUUUCUCCCAGUGAAACGCCCAAGACAAAUUCAGACUGUUUGGAUGUCCAAAUAAUAUGCUUGGAUAAACGGUUGAGGGUUAAGCGCAUUGACACAAGACCAUUUGAGGAAGAACAAGUCAAAAGCAUUAGCAGUGGAUUGGUGUGUCGAGAAGACUCUACUCAUGAAGAAAUUUUGGAGGAAUUGACUUACAGGAAAGCACUUCGAAUCGGCUUGGACAUUUUAGCAGGCCAAGAUUCCGAUACCACUCAAAUGACUAUAAGCAAACCUGUAAUGGAAAAGACUGGGGUAUUUGCUUCAGAAGAGUUUAAAACGAGCGCUUGUGCUUUAAAUUCUAAUGUAACAAGCAGAACAUUGAAGCCAAAUGGAGUGCAUUUGCUUCAAGAACAGGGGGGCACAUGCACUCGGCAAAGUAGCAGGAGAGCAUCUUGUGUUAAAAAAAUGCCAGAAAAUGAACGACGAAAAACAUGGACUAGAUCAUGUACAUUACUCCAGUCUUCAAUUAAAAUGAAAAGUGUGUCGGAAAAGGAAGAAGGUGGUAUUGUAGGGAAAAGAAAAAGGGGGAGAAUGAAAAAAGAUCUUUGUCACCUCCAGAAAGAUGCUUCAGAGUUUAGUCCCACACAAUGUAACCAAUCAAUACAACCGAUGAAAUCAAUACCUACUGAAAAAGAUAAAUCUUGCAGUAAAAAAUGUGAGAGGUCACGAGAAAAGGGAAAGUCUUCAUCCCAAGCCUGUAGUUCUACAGUCUCUGGAGUAAAGAAAGAUCAAAAUGGAACAUUUAAAAAGAAUAAACAGAAGUCAAGGGAUUUUUGUAAGUCUCUCUGUGAAGGAGUUUCAAAUUCUUUCCCAGCUAAUUGUGACUCUCAAGAGGUUUGGACACCUGACAUUCCUCAUAGCUGUCUAGAAUCUACUCCAAGACACAGAACUUGUGGAAAUAUUGGGUCAUAUAAAUGUUCACAGCUUUUAAGCAGCAGUCAAAACAUUGAGUCUGAAGAGAAAAGUGAUUGGGUACAAACUCAUGAGGUAGAAAAGCAUAAAAGGAAAAAAGGAAAGAAACGUACAGAACCGAUGGAAAGCCUUAAUUCUAGCAAGACUUCCGCUGAUUUGGAUGCUAACGUGAACUCAAGCAACCAGUCAAAUGUAGUGAGUAUUGCACAACCAGAGAGUCCGGAACAACAUGUACAGAGCUCUAUAUUUGAGUUUGCACUGGAUGAGAUAGUGAGCCCUAUAAAUGGAAGUAACCAGAAGUAUAGUAGUUCAGAAAGUCUUCAGACAACCUGUCCUACUGCCAUAACUAUGGAGGGAGCAUUAAGCCCUUUAAACAUUAGGGAAGAGGAGGAAACUUUACCCACUGCAUUGCUUGAAACUUGCCUUGGGUCAUCGUCAUUUGGAGUUGAAGUGGGAACACAGUCAUCCUCUUCAUUAUCUGUAGAGUUCAGUUCAAUGGACACCCUUUCUACAAGUAAAUUCAUAGAAGGGAUUAUAGAGGAGAGAGAUGAGGAAGAUGAUGAGAACCUUCCGAGCAUCCUGUCACACCAAGAGCAAUGGUCAGUCGCUGAAGGGAUGUUGGUGUGGUGUAAAUUCCAGAAGUACCCAAACUGGCCUGCAGUGGUAAGAAGUGUAAAAUCCAGAAUCAAAAAGGCCAGCAUAUUGUUUGUAGAUGAAAAUAUAAUCAAUGCAGAAAGGCACAAAAAAGGCUUCUGUGUCUCCAUAAGAACUCUAAAACCAUUUGAUUGUGAGGAUCGACAAAAAUAUACAGCUGCAGCAAGGCAUAUUUACAAUGAUUCAAUUGAUUGGUGUGUAGCUCUUAUUGAUGACUAUCGGAUUAGAAGAGGCUGCGGGUCCUUCACAGGUUCUUUUGUUGAAUAUUGCACAGCUGAACUCAGUAUCCCAGUACGAAAAUCAUUUGCACAAGAUCCUUCAUUAAUGACUUUCCCAUCCAAUUCAAUUGAGAGUCAGGUGGAAGGCCAUUCUGAUUGUGAAUAUGACACAACACCAACCAAACACCAGCCUGCCAAGAAACUGCUCCCUGAUAGGAAGAAAGCUGCCAGGGAUCGAGCUAAUGAAAAACUGGUGCAAUUCAUUGUCAAGGCCAAGGGCGUGGAGAAGCAUCUUCAAGAUGUAAUUAAGGGAAAAAGGCAUUCCAAGUGGCUUGAGGAGUUCAAAACCCGUACCCGCAACUCAAGUGUUAUUGACACCUACCUUGAAGAUGACUGGCAGGUGGACAAAGUGAUGAACUACUUAAAAAGUGUAUAUGAAAUGAAUGUAAGCACACAGCUGUUGGUAGACUAUGAGAGGUGCAGGUUUAUCUUGGAUGUUCUCUUACCGGAGAUUCCCAUUUUGUUUUUAACUUUCAAGUAUGGUUGCAAUUUCCAUUUUCCCUUAAAAGGCCAUUAUCUGUGCUAUUGCAGAGGUUGAACAAAUAACCAUCAAGAAAGCAGAGGAAAAGUACAUGAAAGGACCUCUUCACAGUGAAAGGGAAGUUGAACAUUUUAACAAGGAGAUUGAAAAUGAAAUGAUGCUGAGGCAACAGCAUUUGAACGAGGACGAAUCCACAAGCUAAACCUUUUAUUCUUGAAAUUAUAAUAUAUGUAUGAAAUUGAAUGAAAUCCUUAUUUUUGCAUCAAAUUAAUGUGUUCUUUAAUAGAAAGAUGUUCUAUUAAGAGUGUGUUUCUUAUAAAUCGAUUAAACCAAGGGUGUACAGCUAUCUUGAAUUAAAAUAUUUAAAUAUACUAUCAGAGGAGGGUUAAUGAUCAAAAAGGGUCAAGUACUUUUGGAUCUGAAUUUAUUUUUUAAGUGGAAAGCCAUAUUUCACAAAGUUUGGUCUUUGAUGAGUGCACUAUAUUUUUUUUUUUCUCUACCCCCUCUCUGAAUCAUUCAGCAUUUGUGAAUUGAUUUAUUUGCUUUUGAGUUCCAUUAAUAUUUCUCCCUGGACUAAACUGUAAUGCUGGGCUUCACUGUUGUCACUGUAUGCAAAAUCUAAUACGGGAGGACUACUCAUUGAUAAAUCUUACAUUUGGAGAUAUUUUUGGUACAUUUUCUUUUUAUCUUGUUUAUACAGUGGCAGUUGAAACCAUAUUUUUGUAAAUUUCAGUUAUCAAAUGUAUUGAGAAGUGAUGCAUGUUACAUGUGAAUAACUUAUAAAAUGCAUACCCCCAAUAUGUUUUGUAUGUGUUAAUUGCUGACUAACGUUUAAGUUUGAUAACAAUAGCUUGAUGGUCUUACAGAUUUCAUCAGAUUGGCAAUGCAAUGGGGAUUCUAAGAUGUGGCCUGAGUGGAACUUGUAACCUUGAAGUUCUCCAUCAAUUUUCUUCAGCCGUUUAAAUAAAUAUUUUGGAAGUCCAGUGAGACGAUAUUUAUAUUUUAUAUUCUAUACCUGAAUUAGGCAAUGGAUAAUGCGUUGAGAAAAAUCAGUUUUUAAUUCAUUUGACAACUUUAAUUUGAUAUAAAUUUGAAGUCUAGACAGGAAUGUUUGAAAUAAAUUAUAAAAUAUCUAUGGGCCAAAUGUUAGUUACAUUCAUUCUGCUGACUAUAUCCAUGAGUGUUUUGUGGAAUGUAUAUAAAUUUAGAAUGUUGAGCUGUAGCUGUGGUUUCAGCUGUUGCAGCUUUUUUUAAAACCAGGAAUUCUUUGCUAUUUUGGAGGAUAUUUUGCAUUAUAUUGCUUUGUAUGUGAUUUAAAAAGCAGCAUUGGCCAUUAGUUGUUAGGUCUUCAUUGGACACUAUGAAAAGCAACAGCCAUAACAAUAAACAUUAUUUUUUUGGUGUGUACCUAUUUGAAUAAAUGUGUUAUUGUAGACUGCCAUUAUCUCAGACAACCUGGCUGUCUGAGUCUCCUAAUUUGUUUUUGUACCGUAUAGCCUACAGUAUAAUAAGGGACUACUUUAUGUUUCAGUAACACAUUGUUGAAUAUUAGGUGCAUAUUGAUCUGUACACGUGUGCCGAGUUCGGAUU